This 301-nucleotide ribosomal RNA is filed under the name uncultured bacterium. Its description in RNAcentral is "partial 16S ribosomal RNA". It matches the Rfam family "Bacterial small subunit ribosomal RNA", at positions 509 to 809 of the family's 1533-position model. The record is from RNAcentral.
CAGUAGCCACGGUAAUACGAAGGGUGCAAGCGUUACUCGGAAUUACUGGGCGUAAAGCGUGUGUAGGUGGUUGUUUAAGUCUGUCGUGAAAGCCCUGGGCUCAACCUGGGAAUUGCGAUGGAUACUGGGCGACUAGAGUGCGGUAGAGGAUAGUGGAAUUUCCGGUGUAGCAGUGAAAUGCGUAGAGAUCGGAAGGAACAUCUGUGGCGAAGGCGACUAUCUGGGCCAACACUGACACUGAGACACGAAAGCGUGGGGAGCAAACAGGAUUAGAGACCCGAGUAGUCCCUGUCUUUUAUAC